RNAcentral lists this ribosomal RNA (425 nucleotides) under uncultured bacterium. RNAcentral's name for it is "partial 16S ribosomal RNA". It matches the Rfam family "Bacterial small subunit ribosomal RNA", at positions 354 to 796 of the family's 1533-position model. The record is from RNAcentral.
GUGGGGAAUCUUGCGCAAUGGGCGAAAGCCUGACGCAGCCAUGCCGCGUGAAUGAUGAAGGUCUUAGGAUUGUAAAAUUCUUUCACCGGGGACGAUAAUGACGGUACCCGGAGAAGAAGCCCCGGCUAACUUCGUGCCAGCAGCCGCGGUAAUACGAAGGGGGCUAGCGUUGCUCGGAAUUACUGGGCGUAAAGGGCGCGUAGGCGGACAUUUAAGUCAGGGGUGAAAUCCCGGGGCUCAACCUCGGAACUGCCUUUGAUACUGGGUGUCUUGAGUAUGAGAGAGGUGUGUGGAACUCCGAGUGUAGAGGUGAAAUUCGUAGAUAUUCGGAAGAACACCAGUGGCGAAGGCGACACACUGGCUCAUUACUGACGCUGAGGCGCGAAAGCGUGGGGAGCAAACAGGAUUAGAAACCCUUGUAGUCC